UUAACUCAAAUUUGUAUGGAGUUGGAACGUUUGCCUACGUUUGCCGCUAGGUUCCAACUGCAUACAAAUUUGAGUUA
Molecule: microRNA precursor, 77 nt
Filed under: Bombyx mori (domestic silkworm)
Lineage: Eukaryota; Metazoa; Arthropoda; Insecta; Lepidoptera; Bombycidae
Description: mir-2807 microRNA precursor family
Rfam family: mir-2807 microRNA precursor family
Source: Rfam by way of RNAcentral